Molecule: long non-coding RNA, 1201 nt
Organism: Homo sapiens (human)
Lineage: Eukaryota; Metazoa; Chordata; Mammalia; Primates; Hominidae
Product: long intergenic non-protein coding RNA 424
Source: Ensembl
AGACAGCAGGAGGGGCUUGCCAGUGCACCUCACAAGAGCUCGCUGCUCUGCGUCAGUGCUGCCAAGGAGCUCCUUCAGGGUUGAGAGAUGAGAGAGCCAAGUCCGUGAUUACUAGAUCUGAGAGUCCGGAGCUGGCUCUCCUUUACCAGAGUCAGAUCAUGGUCAUCAGACACGUCCCAUUCUCACUCAACCCAGGGGCAACAGAGUGCUGACCACAAAGCACGUGCUUAAUGAGUGAUGAGUGACCCAAAAAACAAAUCAGAAGAUGGGCAAAAAUUCAUCAUCUAAGGGACUAGAAGAAAUGGGAUAUCCUGUGAGGUUCAGAAAAGCCCAGCAAGGGUCAGGGGACACCACUGCAGAAGAAUCAUUGUCAAAUCAUCGCAUAGGAAAACCCAGCAGCCUCAGAGGGGCUCCUGCAGGCCAAGCUCAUGUACAGUGGGCCUGUGCUCUUCCUUAGCAGAAGGGCGUGGCCAGCCCUUGCCCACUGUCCUUACGGCGGGCUUCAACCUGGGCUCAACCUGCACUCUCUUCCCAUCUGCAGCCCUGGAGGGAAUCGACUGCCAGUUUAAGGAGUCAUUGUCCAGUUCAGACUCCAGAAUACGAAACGUAGAAACUGACAGGAAAUGACCAAGUAUAAAUUGCAACUUGUAAAGAAUCAUCUUAAAUCCUGGCACUGCGUUCAAGGGGGAGUUUGAGCAAGGAAUGUUGCUAAAACGGCUAAAACCAGGAACUCAGAAUAUCGUUCUACAAUAGAACCUAAAAACUGUUUCCAACCCAUCACGACAUCACCCUGAAAAAUGAGUGAGCAGUCACUGAGGCUUCCCAAGUUUGAAAAUUCCACAAGACUGAGAGCAAAUGUUUUGUUGAAACUGAAGUCAAGAUGAAGUCAGCUGACUCUCAAACCUCAGGUGAAGUGACUCAGGGCCCACACCCCGGUUCUGAGGCAGGGACACAUUUUACUUGCAGCACCCUGCAGCUUUGGAUGAGGCUGCAACCCGGGUGAAUCCUGGCCCUGCUAUCACGUGGGCAGCCACUGCAUCCUCCGGAGGCUGUGGAUGGGAGUCACCAUGCUGGGAGGUCUGGAGUAAGAUCUGUGCCAUCUGCCUUGCCCAAUCCUGUACCAGUGCCUGUGUUUCAAAAUCUCAAAAUAAAAGUGAUUAUUCUUGCAACACAUCUAGGUGUACUAAACGAAUACAAAAAA